GGCAUCUCAAGUAUGCUCCACAUGAGGAUCAUAGAGAGUCAUUGUGGGUUCGAUCCUCCUCAAUACUGAUUAGCACGAGCCACUAAUCAGGAUGACCCCGAGGAUAUUACUGAAAAUAUCUCUUCCUUUCAUGAGAACCUACCUUCUCAGCCACCACCGAGUCAUAGACCAGUUCAUGUGGCUGCUUCAUUAACAGAAAUUUCUGACCACUUAACUCGAUUCGAACAAUAUUGCACCCAGCAGUUCAACAGCUCCGCUCAGUGAUUCGACAGUAUAGGGGCCACUCUGCAACAGAUUUUCCAGCAUUUCCACAUUUCGC
RNAcentral lists this long non-coding RNA (319 nucleotides) under Gossypium barbadense (sea-island cotton). RNAcentral's name for it is "long non-coding RNA (GBAR_LNC012249)". The record is from RNAcentral. Lineage: Eukaryota; Viridiplantae; Streptophyta; Magnoliopsida; Malvales; Malvaceae.